GGUUCACAUUCAACGGUGCUUCAGGCUUCACUGUGAGAUUGCAAAAUCAAGAUACAAUAUCAUUCCCAAACCGCACAGCUAUUGGAGCAAUAACUUAUAUUACCAUCAGUGGUAACAUCGAUGUGACAGGCAUCUGGAUUCAUAACCCAUGAUGGAUGAUACUUCACGCACCAUAUACAAUACAUGAAAUUCAGCAUCAUGUAUUGUAAAAUGAUUACCUGGAGCCAUAGAAACAAUUUCUAGAUGGAAGAUCGACAAAUAAAAACUGUCUUCUGAAAUAUAAUUAAAAGUUUCCAAGAUGUGC
Molecule: long non-coding RNA, 304 nt
Organism: Protopterus annectens (West African lungfish)
Lineage: Eukaryota; Metazoa; Chordata; Ceratodontiformes; Protopteridae
Exons: 2
Source: RefSeq, a predicted model, not a curated record